GGCGAACGGGUGAGUAACACGUGAGUAACCUGCCCUUGACUUUGGGAUAACUUCAGGAAACUGGGGCUAAUACCGGAUAGGAGCUCCUGCUGCAUGGUGGGGGUUGGAAAGUUUCGGCGGUUGGGGAUGGACUCGCGGCUUAUCAGCUUGUUGGUGGAGUAGUGGCUUACCAAGGCUUUGACGGGUAGCCGGCCUGAGAGGGUGACCGGCCACAUUGGGACUGAGAUACGGCCCAG
RNAcentral lists this ribosomal RNA (236 nucleotides) under uncultured Actinomycetales bacterium. Its description in RNAcentral is "partial 16S ribosomal RNA". It matches the Rfam family "Bacterial small subunit ribosomal RNA", at positions 97 to 334 of the family's 1533-position model. Lineage: Bacteria; Bacillati; Actinomycetota; Actinomycetes; Actinomycetales. The record is from RNAcentral.